UUUUGGUUAGAUUAGGGUAUAAAAUACUUAAAAUUUAUAGAUUUUCUGAGUAUUUUCAAUACUUUUCAUAGAAUCGGAUACAAAUUUUUAAAUAUUUGGAUACUUCGGGUAAACCCGAAUCCGAACCCGAAAUACCCGAUCCAAACCCGAUCCGAACCCGAAGUUUUAAAAUACCCGAACGGGUCUUAGUUUUCUAAAUCCGAAAAACCCGAACCCGAAAAACCCGACCCGAA
This 233-nucleotide long non-coding RNA is filed under the name Arabidopsis lyrata. RNAcentral's name for it is "long non-coding RNA (ALYR_LNC000990)". Lineage: Eukaryota; Viridiplantae; Streptophyta; Magnoliopsida; Brassicales; Brassicaceae. The record is from RNAcentral.